AAGUUAGCUGCUAUAGGGCAACCGCCCUCUGUAUAGGAUGUUACUUCCGCUAGUCUCCGAAAACAAUGAAUUUGUUGUCACUCCUUUUUAACUAGAAAACGGGUCUAUGCAUGGCCAUAUAAUGUGUAGAAUCUGCAGUAGUCUGUGCAUAUAAUUCAACCGCCACACGUACUUCAACAGUCUCUACAUUUAAGAAUAAGGCAAGUAGAUAGUUUUUAGAACGAAGAAAUGGAUGAUGACGAGACGCAUGAAUUUUGGAUGCUUGAAGAAACUCAGCUAGUAAUCAAUAAUCGUAAAACACGGAAAAGCUAUUCGUUUAGAAUAAACAAUACAUGCGUACUCUGUUUCGUCAUCUGGUAUCUAUAUAUGAUGAUGCUGCUGAGAAUAUACCAAAUGAUGCUCACGAAGCAAGAAAAUAUGUUGACUCAGGUGAGAAUGAAAUUUUUGGAAACAAGGCAGGAGAUGGAUCGAGUGCAAAUAUUGGACAAUAAGCUGGCAUUCCACAUUGGCUACGUGAAGAGUCUUCUCAAGAACAAAACAACAUACGACACUGGUUACUGACUAUUGCAUUCAGGGCCUGAGUUCAUGCACCCGAGCUUCAUGUUAAAGCGAUUCAUUCCGCAGGAUGACACUGACUGAUUAAUGAUACGGAUAUGACUGUCCUGCGGUACAGAUAGAGGCACGAGUCGUGAGCACGCGCGUGAUUGGUCAGUUUGAUGUCCAAUGUUUCGCGCGAUUGGUUCGUCUGUCCAUGCUCAUUCUCUGGCUUACAUGUGACUUUCGUCCAAUUUACUUGUGCUCAUGACUUAUGCGAUUUACUGUAUCUCUAAAGCGGCUUAACAUCGGCCUAUGGGGUUGCAUCAUAACAUCGCAUGUGUUCAAUAAUGGUUUCUUUAACUCAGGCUGGGCGUUUCACACGGCCUGCAUUAACUAGAUACUAAGCUCUCUUAGAAUAUUAUUAAAUUUCUAUAUAAGAAUGCAUCUAAAUGUGUCGACUGCUUCACUAUGAGUGAUUUUAACCUUAGACAACACCCAGUAGAAUAUAGAAAAGUAUUUCGAAAUAUCCUGUCAGUUUAUAGCUAUAAUGAAAUUCAAAUUGCAAUUUUAUUAGAUGUUACGAGUAGUGGGAGCUGUGGUAAAAUAUUUCAAUAUACCUAAUCUAAAUCUCAAAUAAUUGGUGUCCCUGUAGCACUUCUGUCUAGCUGUUAUAAGAUAAACUUGUCUAUGUAUACACUCAUUUUGGCACUGCUUUAAUAAAUUAAACCACAUACUCGACUUUACCUCUAGUAACAUUGUCCCACAUAUUAUCCAUGUAUAACAAAUAUUCACAGUUAUAUUUUCCUGGUUUUUUAAUUUAUCAUUUUGUAGUUUAGUGCGAAAAUGGCAACUGCGUGAGUGUAUUUCUGAUUGAAACUAUGAUGUUGCCGCUGCGACGUAUUGUCUUAGAGCUGUAAUAAGCGCAUAAAAUUAAAAGUACUAUUUAUUGAUAUUUAUUUUGUUUGCACACUUUUUGUUUUACAGCUACGGUUCGAGUAGUUAUUGUGAAGUGUUAUAUUCAAGAAGAUAAGUAUGUGGUUUCAUUUAGUAAUGCGAUGUCAAAAUUACCCUGUUAUAUGUUAGCGAUGCAAUCAGCACUAUAUCAUUACCUUUUUAAGAUCAAACAUAUUAAGUGUACACUAAGGAUGUAUAAUAGGUUACAUUACUAAAUAUCAAUUGUGAUUAUGUAGGUAUGUAACUAAGAAUAUAAUAUUUAUGACGUUGUUCGGAAGAAAGUUUUAUCCGUUUAUUUAUAUUAUUAAGUCAUAUGUUAUGAUUCAAGUAAGUGUAUUUUGUUGACUAAUACUUCGUUUUUACAUUAUUUUUAGAUAUAGUACCAAAUUUAACAUAAAAAGUGUGAUCUGUGUAAUGUACUAGAUGUUGCUCGCGACUUCCCCCGCAUGAUAUACCUUUCCUGCUAAAAGUCUCUAGAAUAUUGUACAUAUUCAAGUCACUUGUUCGAUGGCCGCACAAUAUAUUUAAUAAAAAACCGUAGGAGCAAAUUUCUGGAAUAAACGUAGCAACAAUCGCAUUUAAUAUUAGUAAGGUUUCUGAAUGUAAUAUUUAACUGCAAUAUAAAUAAAAUAAACAAUAUAUCUUCCAA
This 2140-nucleotide long non-coding RNA is filed under the name Manduca sexta (tobacco hornworm). RNAcentral describes it as "uncharacterized LOC115448765, transcript variant X1". The record is from RNAcentral. Lineage: Eukaryota; Metazoa; Arthropoda; Insecta; Lepidoptera; Sphingidae.